GAGCAACUCAACGAGAUAGUUCCAGCAUGCAGAAGUGCCCGGGGAGGCAUUGGGAAACAACUCGGAACAAUCUGCAGCGCCACAGGCUCCACGGGCUUUUGCUGUAAGACGCGUGCCAUCGCUGAAACGACACCAGGAGCCCCUCAGAGGUCGAGCGUGGAUUGGGGUCUCCGUGGGCCACCGAGACGGGUG
Molecule: non-coding RNA, 192 nt
Organism: Electrophorus electricus (electric eel)
Lineage: Eukaryota; Metazoa; Chordata; Actinopteri; Gymnotiformes; Gymnotidae
Source: RefSeq, a predicted model, not a curated record